AUGGAACUGGACUCUUCUCUUCAAGCGGUAGACGGUGCUACCCAAAACCAAGCACAGCAGUUUUUCGAAAAAGAGCUGCCUCUUAAUGUCUGCGACCGAAAGGAUCCAAAAGACCUCACCUGUGAUGUUACCCAACAAGAAACCUUUGAGAUUUUGGACUCAGUUGAUGAUCAGACGGCAAUAGACGAUGAAACUUCUGGUGCUCAGAUUUCUAAAGAAGACAUCGGGCGAAUAGAUAAAGAGGAAGAUACCUCUCGGAGUGGUCUGAGGACCAGACAGGACAGGACAGAAACGAGUAGAAAGAUAGUGUAUGAAAUGGAUUCUGUUGAAGAUGAACCGGUUCAAGAUGCGACCACCACAGAAAGGUCUGUCAGAAGACGAAGUCAGAGAGGAAAGAAGGAGGAUAAAACUGAAGUAUCUGAAAAACCAUACGGAGAUGCGGAAGCUUCGUUUGAAGUUUUGGACUCUGUGGAAGAUGAGACUGCGACUGAAGAACCAACUACGACGACAUCGACCAGAGGAAGAAGGGAAAGAACAAGUAAGAAAGAUUCUCAGGUCAACAAAACAAAGGAAGAGGACACGCCGACGAGAAGGAGACGCACUCCUGCCAGAGAAUCACAGGAAGCAAAGAAGAGUGACAUCACUGUACGAGAGUCAAGGGACGAGGAUGCUACCUAUGAAAUAUUAGACUCUGUGGAGGACGAGGAGGUUGUGAAGGACGACCGGCCUGCUACAGGAGGAAGAGGGAAACGGAAAAGACCAAAGAAAGCGGUUAAAGCAACUAAAAAUGAGACUGUCACACUGAAGAAGGGCGACAAAGACAAAGAGGCUGACGAAGAAGAGGUGUUGUUUCAGAUUCUUGAUUCUGUGGAGGAUGAGAUGGUUGACGACCAUCCUUCCACAGAACAGUCUGUCAGCGCGAGAAAGAAGAAAACAUCCAAAAACGAUAAGCUGGUGGAGCAAAGCUCAUCUCUCUCAGGAUCACCCAGAAACGAGGAGGAGGAGGAGCCGGUCUAUCAGAUCGUGAUUCUGUGGAAGAUGAUCAAGAAGAGUCGGUGA
This 1059-nucleotide long non-coding RNA is filed under the name Scophthalmus maximus (turbot). Its description in RNAcentral is "lncRNA (ENSSMAG00000030884.1)". The record is from RNAcentral. Lineage: Eukaryota; Metazoa; Chordata; Actinopteri; Pleuronectiformes; Scophthalmidae.